Non-coding RNA from Youngiibacter fragilis 232.1, 98 nucleotides. Lineage: Bacteria; Bacillati; Bacillota; Clostridia; Eubacteriales; Clostridiaceae. The record is from Rfam.
UCCAUUGCGAGGUGGAAUCUGAAGGAAGCCGGAUGUCAGGGCGAGGAGUUCUGGCGGGCAAAUUUUCGGGCCGACGAACAGAAAUCUUAUAUAAGGCC